GUCGGGAGGGCGGCUAAUACAAGACCUCAUCUGAGGGAAUACGCCCGCCGACGAAAUGCGGUUUUUUGGCCUCCCGACAUCCCCGU
RNAcentral lists this non-coding RNA (86 nucleotides) under Pseudoxanthomonas sp. OG2. RNAcentral describes it as "sRNA-Xcc1". It matches the Rfam family "sRNA-Xcc1". Lineage: Bacteria; Pseudomonadati; Pseudomonadota; Gammaproteobacteria; Lysobacterales; Lysobacteraceae. The record is from RNAcentral.